This 254-nucleotide ribosomal RNA is filed under the name uncultured bacterium. RNAcentral describes it as "partial 16S ribosomal RNA". It matches the Rfam family "Bacterial small subunit ribosomal RNA", at positions 524 to 776 of the family's 1533-position model. The record is from RNAcentral.
UACAGAGGGUGCGAGCGUUGUCCGGAAUCACUGGGCGUAAAGGGCGCGUAGGCGGCUCAUGAAGGCUGUGGUGAAAGUCCGGGGCUCAACCUCGGAUCGGCCGUGGCGACUCGUGGGCUGGAGCACUGUAGAGGCGGGUGGAAUUCCGGGUGUAGCGGUGGAAUGCGUAGAGAUCCGGAAGAACACCGGUGGCGAAGGCGGCCUGCUGGGCGUAUGGCUGACACUGAGGCGCGACAGCGUGGGGAGCAAACAGG